Molecule: ribosomal RNA, 276 nt
Filed under: uncultured bacterium
Lineage: Bacteria
Description: partial 16S ribosomal RNA
Rfam family: Bacterial small subunit ribosomal RNA
Source: RNAcentral
CCGUUGCCGGCGACCGGCGCACGGGUGAGUAACACGUAUGCAACCUGCCCGUGGCAGGGGGAUAAGCGGGGGAAACCCCGUCUAAUACCGCGUAACGCGGCCUUGGGGCAUCCCAAGGCCGCCAAAGGGAGCAAUCCCGGCCACGGAUGGGCAUGCGGCGCAUUAGCUAGUCGGCGGGGUAACGGCCCNCCGAGGCGACGAUGCGUAGGGGUUCUGAGAGGAAGGCCCCCCACACUGGUACUGAGACACGGACCAGACUCCUACGGAAGGCAGCAG